CACGCCGUAAACGAUGAGUACUAGGUGUAGGGGGUAUCGACCCCCCCUGUGCCGCAGUAAACACAAUAAGUACUCCGCCUGGGAAGUACGAUCGCAAGAUUAAAACUCAAAGGAAUUGACGGGGGCCCGCACAAGCGGAGGAACAUGUGGUUUAAUUCGAUGAUACGCGAGGAACCUUACCCGGGCUCGAACGGUGCAGGAAUACAGGAGAGAUUCUGUAGCAUAGCAAUAUGUCUGCAUCGAGGUGC
Molecule: ribosomal RNA, 248 nt
Filed under: uncultured bacterium
Lineage: Bacteria
Description: partial 16S ribosomal RNA
Rfam family: Bacterial small subunit ribosomal RNA
Source: RNAcentral